AAAGGAACAGCCGUCUCUCCCGUGGCUCCCUCUGCUCCCGGACAAGAAGGCAAAGAGGAGCAAAGGGAGCGAGAGAAGCAGAAUCGUCCGUGUGUGGUGACAGCCCCGGCUGAUCCUUGCAAGAGAGUGACGAAAGGAACAGCCGUCUCUCCCGUGGCUCCCUCUGCUCCCGGACAAGAAGGCAAAGAGGAGCAAAGGGAGCGAGAGAAGCAGAAGCCUCUGUGUGUGGUGACAGCCCCGGCUGAUCCUUGCAAGAGAGUGACGAAAGGAACAGCCGUCUCUCCCGUGGCUCCCUCUGCUCCCGGACAAGAAGGCAAAGAGGAGCAAAGGGAGCGAGAGAAGCAGAAGCCUCCGUGUGUGGUGACAGCCCCGGCUGAUCCUUGCAA
Molecule: long non-coding RNA, 386 nt
Organism: Passer domesticus (house sparrow)
Lineage: Eukaryota; Metazoa; Chordata; Aves; Passeriformes; Passeridae
Exons: 3
Source: RefSeq, a predicted model, not a curated record